GGUUCGAUCAUGGCUCAGAUUGAACGCUGGCGGGAUGCUUUACACAUGCAAGUCGAACGGCGGCACGGACUUCGGUCUGGUGGCGAGUGGCGAACAGGUGAGUAAUGUAUCGGAACGUGCCUAGUAGCGGGGGAUAACUACGCGAAAGCGUAGCUAAUGCCACAUACGCCCUUCGGGGAAAGCGGGGGACCUUCGGGCCUCGCACUAUGGAAACGGCCGAUAUCGGAUUAGCUAGUUGGUGAAUGUUUUGGCUCCGCAAGGCGACGAUCCGUAGCUGGUUUGAAGGACGACCAGCCACUGGACAGGACUGCGGCCCAGACUCCUACGGAGGCAGCAGUGGGAAUUUUGGACAAUAGAAACCCUGAUCCAGCCAUCCCGCGUGUGCGAUGAAGGCCUUCGGGUUGUAAAGCACUUUUGGCAGGAAAGAAACGGCGUACCGGGAUAAUACCCCGUGCAAGCGGUAACCUGCAGAAUAAGCACCGGCUAACUACGUGCCAGCAGCCGCAGUAAUACGUAGGGUGCAAGCGUUAAUCGGAAUUACUGGGCGUAAAGCGUGCGCAGGCGGUUCCGGAAGAAAGAUGUGAAAUCCCAGAGCUUAACUUUGGAACUGCAUUUUUAACCGAGCUAGAGUGUGUCAGAGGGAGGUGGAAUUCCGCGUGUAGCAGUGAAAUGCGUAGAUAUGCGGAGGAACACCGAUGGCGAAGGCAGCCUCCUGGGAUAACACUGACGCUCAUGCACGAAAGCGUGAAGACAAGCAAGUUAAAUACCCUGGUGUCCACGCCCUAAAAACGUGUCAACUAGCUGUUGGGGCCUUCGGGCUUGCUCGGUAGCGCAGCUAACGCGUGAAGUUGACCGCCUGAAAUACGGUCGCAAGAUUAAAACUCAAAGGAAUUGACGAGAGGGACCCGCACAAGCGGUGGAUGAUGUGGAUUAAUUCGAUGCAACGCGAAAAACCUUACCUACCCUUGACAUGUCUGGAAUCCCGAGAAAGAGAUUUGGGAGUGCUCGCAAGAGAACCGGAACACAGGUGCUGCAUGGCUGUCGUCAGCUCGUGUCGUGAGAUGUUGGGUUGAUCCGCAACGAGCGCAACCCUUGUCAUUAGUUGCUGCAGGGCCUCUAAUGAGACUGCCGGUAUAGGCUUCGGAAGGUGGGGAUGAUGACGUCAAGUCCUCAUGGCCCAUAUGGGUGGGGGCUUCACACGUCAUACAAUGGUCGGGACAGAGGAGUGCUAACCACGAGGAGCCAAUCCCAGAAACCCGAUCGUAGUCGGAUCGCAGUCUGCAACUCGACUGCGUGAAGUCAAGAUCGCUAGUAAUCAUGGAUCAGCAUGUCGCGGUGAAUGCGUUCCGGGUCUUGUACGCACCGCCCGUCACACCACCAUGGGGUGGGUUUUACCAGAAGUAGUUAGCCUAACCGUAAGGAGGGCGAUUACCACGGUAGGAUUCAUGACUGGGGUAAGUCGUAACAAGGUAAAG
Molecule: ribosomal RNA, 1475 nt
Filed under: uncultured Bordetella sp.
Lineage: Bacteria; Pseudomonadati; Pseudomonadota; Betaproteobacteria; Burkholderiales; Alcaligenaceae
Description: partial 16S-23S ribosomal RNA intergenic spacer
Rfam family: Bacterial small subunit ribosomal RNA
Source: RNAcentral